AGGAGCCGUAUGAAUCGAGAGGUUCACGUACGGAGUCUGUGAGAAGCUGGGGGUGAAAUGGGACUGUAAGGGACUGUAAAUUAAACUGUAUAAUUGUGAAAUCCUCCGGCUUACUCGAC
This 119-nucleotide unclassified non-coding RNA is filed under the name Nitrosomonas sp. Nm51. The record is from RNAcentral. Lineage: Bacteria; Pseudomonadati; Pseudomonadota; Betaproteobacteria; Nitrosomonadales; Nitrosomonadaceae.